UGGAAAACUUAUCAAAUCUUUUGUUGGUUAAAAGUGUGAAUAAAAUUCACAAUGCAUAUUGUGCUGAUUCCCUGACUUUCUCUGUAGGUAACACAAUCAAGUGUUUACUUGACCAGCGACCAGGGAGUUUCCAUCUACAUCUGGAUUCUUUAGUUGUUUGGAUCUCAUGACUGGUGGGGGUACCUUCCAGCUCAUGGGUGAUGAAAUGUGCGGACCAUUACCAGGCCCAGUCACAAACCCGUUUCACCCAAACCCGGGACAGAGUCGACCUUGUUUUAGUUUUUCAAGAUCAGCCACUGCUACAGCUGCUCGCACACCCCAUCCUUCAACUAGUCCAAAAAUGUACCAAAGAACUAUUUUCCUUGGACAACUUCAGGGUGAAAAAAAAAAGUUCAGGACAAGGCAUUGGUUAUCCCUUUUGAAGAGUCUGAGGCCUCUUUGCCUACGAUGACAUUCAAAGUAAAAGAAGCCCUUGCUAUGGGUGCAGAUGAAAAUAUAAUUUUAACCGAUAGUCAAGGAAACCUACUCCUUGAUACCCCUGGCACUAAAGGUUCUGCUUAUUGGAAGCAGAGCUCCAGACGCCUUUUUGCCAUCAAAGAGGAUGUAUUUGCAGAGAUGGGAAGGAGAAAAAGAAGAAAACUAGGGUAAGUUCAUAAAUGCUAUUACCAGAAGAGUAUAGUCAUUUUUUAACUUUUAAUAUAUCCAUGCAAAUUAAAAUCUACGCCCACUUUACUUUAAUUUAGAUUUGGGCGGUCUUAGUCAGGUCAUACCACGAACUGAUGUAGAUUUGUAGGGGUAUUGGUUACACAAGGUGUUUCAGGCAGGUCUGGGUGAGCAGUUGCUUUUAGAUGGAAUGCAUCUUUUUUCCGACACUUUAAUUUUUGCAAUUUAAUUGUCUAAUACAUGCAUGGGCAGCGUACAAAACACACCAAAGACACAGAAAAACACAUACUUCCGCACCAUAUGACCCCUUUAACUUUCAGAUGGAAUUGGAUAUCUCAGAGGACCACAGAGUUUGCUGAAAAACUGUUCCUAUAGAUGGGACAAGUUUUUCCGGAGGUGGUCAGAGAAAUUUUGAAUCCCACUCUAAUAUGGAUGUCUCUUAUUUCUUGCAUAAUCUUUUAAGAAAUUCCUUAGCCAUUUACAUACUUUUUGACAGGGUCACUGAUGCAAAAUCAUUGAUCUCAGGUGAUAAGAAUUGCAAAUCAAACGUUUAUUAGAAAACUAUGCUAAACUAGGUUUUGAGAUUCUUCUGCAUGCACAUUUUGAUUGUCUUUCAAAUGUUUUAAAGGCAAGCUUCAAGACACGAGGGAUCAGAGCUCUUUGAAAUAAGAGACAAAAUCGAGGAGGUCCUUCUUGCCUCAGAAGGUUUUCCAGUUUUCCAUAAUGAAAAACGACACUUGCAUUAACUGUUGCUUGGUUAAUUGACAUCCUAUUAGCCUUAAUAGACUACUUAAAGCAAUGAAAUGUUGCUCCUAUCGAAGUAAUGUAAUAGUUGAAUGACGGUGGAUUAUGAACUCGCCAAAAUGUAAAAGAAAGCCCAACUGGACGCAGGAUCAGUUACUGCUGCUUGCCCAGUUGGUGCUGGAAAAAAAAAACAUAAUAAAAGGGAAAUUCGGCACUGGGAUAUCAAGCAAAACUAAGCGUGAGACAUGGGAGAGGAUUUGUUUGCAGAUCAAUGCAGCAUUCCUGCUUGUAUCGCUGACCACGGACGACUGCGAGAGGCGGUGGUAUGCGCUACAAUCACAGUCGAGGGUUGAGAUUGUAGCCUUUAAACGGGCAAACAUGGCAACAGGAGGAGGAUCAGCACCUAAGCCACUGAGCCACAUUGCAUCAGUGCUGUAUAGUGUCAUUGGGUCAGACACCAGCAUAAUGGGCCUUGAGGGUGCAACUGAUCCGUCAAUGCAGCUGCUAAUGGAAAUAGAGGGGUAGGCUAUGUUUAUGAAAUGAUUGUAAUACUUACAUUUUUGGUGAUAUUUAAUGAAGAACAUAAAAUAUCAUUAUGUGCAAACCACCCACACACACAAAAAACUGUUCACAAAUUAUAAGUGGUUUAACAGGCUAUAAUUUACAGGCCAAAUGGAAACCCAGGUCCUUCAGAUGCAAGUAAUUUUCCUCUUCCUGCGCGUCUUGCACCUCUUCCUCUUCCAGCACCUCUUCCUGCACC
Molecule: long non-coding RNA, 2167 nt
Organism: Triplophysa dalaica
Lineage: Eukaryota; Metazoa; Chordata; Actinopteri; Cypriniformes; Nemacheilidae
Exons: 4
Source: RefSeq, a predicted model, not a curated record